GGUUGCAUAGUGUAAUGACUAGCACGCUCUAAACUUUGUUCUCUAGAGAGAUGUCGGUUCAAAUCCGACUGUAGCCC
This 77-nucleotide transfer RNA is filed under the name Drechslerella stenobrocha 248. RNAcentral describes it as "tRNA-Und (NNN) (tRNA-Und-NNN-2-1)". It matches the Rfam family "tRNA". From Rfam's summary of the family: Transfer RNA (tRNA) molecules are approximately 80 nucleotides in length. Lineage: Eukaryota; Fungi; Ascomycota; Orbiliomycetes; Orbiliales; Orbiliaceae. The record is from Rfam by way of RNAcentral.